RNAcentral lists this ribosomal RNA (738 nucleotides) under Triticum aestivum (bread wheat). RNAcentral describes it as "partial small subunit ribosomal RNA". The record is from RNAcentral. Lineage: Eukaryota; Viridiplantae; Streptophyta; Magnoliopsida; Poales; Poaceae.
AUGCGCCUCCGCGCUCUUGUUGGAAACCAAGUAAUGAUGUUACUGGUGGACUCCGGCAGCACACACACAUUCGUCAAUGCUGCAUUCGCUGCCCGGGCAGGCUGUGUUGUGCAAGUGGCAGAGCCGGUCACCGUGCGUGUGGCCAAUGGCGACACUCUCCAAUCUACACAGCAAGUAUCCCAACUGAAUUGGUGGUGCCAGGGACACACAUUCAGCACUGACAUGCGUCUGCUCGAGCUAGGUGCCUACGAUGCGGUCCUCGGAGUCGAUUGGCUAGCCCAUUUCAGCCCUAUGAACUGUCAUUGGGGACUCAAGACCAUGGAAUUCCGUUAUGACAGUGUUAAUAUCAAGUUACAAGGUGUCCGCACUCCCACCGAGCCUACACUGACAGAGAUGCGAGCGGAUCAGCUAUCCAAGUGGAUUCAGGGCAACGAGGUGUGGGCAUUGGCUGUCGUCCAUGCAGAUACCAAUUCUGCAGCAGCCACUGAUCAAGUGCCACCGCAAUUGCAAGUCCUGUUGGAUGAAUAUGCAGACGUCUUCCAGGAACCCAAAACCUUGCCACCACAUCGCGACUUUGACCACGCGAUCCACCUGGAGCCAGGAACAUCACCACCAAAUGUCAGACCCUAUCGAUACUCUCCUCUCCAGAAGGACGAAAUUGAGCGUCAAGUCACGGAAAUGCUGCAAGCAGGCCUAAUCACAACGAGCAUCAGCCCGUUCGCCGCACCGGUCCUACUG